Molecule: long non-coding RNA, 631 nt
Filed under: Salmo salar (Atlantic salmon)
Lineage: Eukaryota; Metazoa; Chordata; Actinopteri; Salmoniformes; Salmonidae
Description: lncRNA (ENSSSAG00000083592.1)
Source: RNAcentral
CUCGUUAGGACUGGAGGGAGGAAGCUGUUCCUAGAUUCAAAUCCGAUCUCCUCUUUUCGGCUGUGCACCUUAUUAAAAGGUAAAGUUUCCACGUUAACAGUAGGCUCAAUCCUAAAUUACCUUUUUGGUUUUUUUAAAGGUGAACUAUAACCCGGAUCUUCUGCGGAUCAGAUUGAAUCUAGCCAAGGGCUAUUUCUUUCUGGUCCUGGAGGGACGAAACACUACUGGUUCUCAUCCUCUACCUGUAAUCCGAGACUCGUUCAGACCCGAGACUCAUUCAGACCUGGGGACAACAGGUUGAGACUCAUUCAGACCUGGGGACAUCAGGUAGAGAGACUCAUUCAGACCUGGGGACAUCAGGUAGAGAGACUCAUUCAGACCUGGGGACAUCAGGUAGAGAGACUAAUUCAGACCUGGGGACAUCAGGUAGAGAGACUCAUUCAGACCUGGGGACAUCAGGUAGAGAGACUCAUUCAGACCUGGGACUAAUUCAGACCUGGGGACAUCAGGUAGAGAGACUCAUUCAGACCUGGGGACAUCAGGUAGAGAGACUCAUUCAGACCUGGGGACAUCAGGUAGAGAGACUCAUUCAGACCUGGGGACAUCAGGUAGAGAGACUCAUUCAGACCUG